ACGCUGGCGGCAGGCUUAACACAUGCAAGUCGAACGGUAACAGGAAUUAGCUUGCUAAUUUGCUGACGAGUGGCGGACGGGUGAGUAAUGCUUGGGAAUCUGGCUUAUGGAGGGGGAUAACUACGGGAAACUGUAGCUAAUACCGCGUAAAAUCUUCGGAUUAAAGGGUGGGACUUUCGAGCCACCUGCCAUAAGAUGAGCCCAAGUGGGAUUAGGUAGUUGGUUAGGUAAAGGCUGACCAAGCCGACGAUCUCUAGCUGGUCUGAGAGGAUGACCAGCCACACUGGAACUGAGACACGGUCCAGACUCCUACAGGAGGCAGCAGUGGGGAAUAUUGCACAAUGGGGGGAACCCUGAUGCAGCCAUGCCGCGUGAAUGAAGAAGGCCUUCGGGUUGUAAAGUUCUUUCGGUGACGAGGAAGGUUGAUAGGUUAAUAGCCUAUCAAAUUGACGUUAAUCACAGAAGAAGCACCGGCUAACUCCGUGCCAGCAGCCGCGGUAAUACGGGGGGUGCGAGCGUUAAUCGGAAUAACUGGGCGUAAAGGGCACGCAGGCGGUGACUUAAGUGAGAUGUGAAAGCCCCGAGCUUAACUUGGGAAUUGCAUUUCAUACUGGGUCGCUAGAGUACUUUAGGGAGGGGUAGAAUUCCACGUGUAGCGGUGAAAUGCGUAGAGAUGUGGAGGAAUACCGAAGGCGAAGGCAGCCCCUUGGGAAUGUACUGACGCUCAUGUGCGAAAGCGUGGGGAGCAAACAGGAUUAGAUACCCUGGUAGUCCACGCUGUAAACGAUGUCGAUUUGGGGAUUGGGCUUUGAGCUUGGUGCCCGUAGCUAACGUGAUAAAUCGACCGCCUGGGGAGUACGGCCGCAAGGUUAAAACUCAAAUGAAUUGACGGGGGCCCGCACAAGCGGUGGAGCAUGU
This 918-nucleotide ribosomal RNA is filed under the name uncultured bacterium. RNAcentral's name for it is "bacterial SSU rRNA". It matches the Rfam family "Bacterial small subunit ribosomal RNA", at positions 33 to 942 of the family's 1533-position model. The record is from RNAcentral.